This 437-nucleotide ribosomal RNA is filed under the name uncultured Oscillospiraceae bacterium. Its description in RNAcentral is "bacterial SSU rRNA". It matches the Rfam family "Bacterial small subunit ribosomal RNA", at positions 341 to 792 of the family's 1533-position model. Lineage: Bacteria; Bacillati; Bacillota; Clostridia; Eubacteriales; Oscillospiraceae. The record is from RNAcentral.
ACGGAAGGCAGCAGUGGGGAAUAUUGGGCAAUGGGCGAAAGCCUGACCCAGCAACGCCGCGUGAAGGAAGAAGGUCUUCGGAUUGUAAACUUCUUUUAUCAGGGACGAAGAAAGUGACGGUACCUGAUGAAUAAGCCACGGCUAACUACGUGCCAGCAGCCGCGGUAAUACGUAGGUGGCGAGCGUUAUCCGGGUUUACUGGGUGUAAAGGGCGCGUAGGCGGGGAUGCAAGUCAGAUGUGAAAUCCAUGGGCUUAACCCACGAACUGCAUUUGAAACUGUAUCUCUUGAGUGCCGGAGAGGUAGAUGGAAUUCCUAGUGUAGCGGUGAAAUGCGUAGAUAUUAGGAGGAACACCAGUGGCGAAGGCGAUCUACUGGACGAUAACUGACGCUGAGGCGCGAAAGCGUGGGGAGCAAACAGGAUUGGAUACCCUGGUA